ACGUAGGGACCAAGCGUUGUUCGGAUUUACUGGGCGUAAAGGGCGCGUAGGCGGCCAACUAAGUCGGAUGUGAAAUCCCCAGGCUUAACUUGGGAAUGGCAUCCGAUACUGGAUGGCUUGAAUCCGGGAGAGGGAUGCGGAAUUCCAGGUGUAGCGGUGAAAUGCGUAGAUAUCGAGAGGAACACCUGCGGCGAAGGCGGGUUGCUGGGCUGACACUGACGCUGAUGUGCGAAAGCUAGGGGAGCGAACGGGA
This 253-nucleotide ribosomal RNA is filed under the name uncultured prokaryote. Its description in RNAcentral is "partial 16S ribosomal RNA". It matches the Rfam family "Bacterial small subunit ribosomal RNA", at positions 525 to 777 of the family's 1533-position model. The record is from RNAcentral.